UAGUGGAUGCUCUGGCAAUGACCUGUGGUAAGAUCUGAGACAGGUCCCUCUGGGUGUGCUGGGUGCUGCAAAGAGAGCAUGUAGCGGACAAGUCCCUUCUCUGAAGAGUUCCCAGUGGAAGUGGUGGACCUGGCAGACUGAUAAGUUUCAGUGACUGCAGAUUUUCAUCAGGGCUGUGAUUUAUGUGGUGCAACUUCUGCUUAUGGCAGCGGUAUGGUGUAGCGCACAGGCUUGGGAAGCAGACCUGGUUUCUAGGCCGUCAUUUGACAUUGACUUGCACAAGGCACUGAACCCCUC
Long non-coding RNA from Mauremys reevesii (Reeves's turtle), 297 nucleotides. RefSeq lists it as uncharacterized. The transcript has 4 exons. NCBI's taxonomy places the organism in Eukaryota, Metazoa, Chordata, Testudines, Geoemydidae. The record is from RefSeq and is a predicted model, not a curated record.